CGUGAGCAACCUACCUUUGAGUUGGGGAUAGCCCUGGGAAACCAGGAUUAAUACCCGAUGUGGUCACAACAGGACAUCCUGAUGUGAGUAAAGGCGCAAGCCGCUCAAUGACGGGCUCGCGGCCUAUUAGCUUGUUGGUGGGGUAACGGCCUACCAAGGCGAUGAUGGGUAGCUGGUCUGAGAGGACGAUCAGCCACACUGGGACUGAGACACGGCCCAG
Molecule: ribosomal RNA, 220 nt
Filed under: uncultured bacterium
Lineage: Bacteria
Description: partial 16S ribosomal RNA
Rfam family: Bacterial small subunit ribosomal RNA
Source: RNAcentral